Molecule: ribosomal RNA, 423 nt
Filed under: uncultured bacterium
Lineage: Bacteria
Description: partial 16S ribosomal RNA
Rfam family: Bacterial small subunit ribosomal RNA
Source: RNAcentral
AAUAUUUUACAAUGGGUGAAAGCCUGAUCCAGCCAUCCCGCGUGUGUGAGGGAGGUCUUCGUAUUGUAACGCACUUUAAGUUGAGCGGAAGGGCAGUAAGGUAAUACCUAGCUGUUUUUACGUUAUCGACAGAAUAAGCACCGGCUAACUUCGUGCCAGCAGCCGCGGUAAUACGCAGGGUGCAAGCGUUAAUCGGAAUUACUGGGCGUAAAGCGGGAGUAGGUGGUUUGUUAAGUUGGAAGUGAAAGCCCCGGGCUCAACCUGGGAACUGCCUUCAAAACUGGCAAGCUAGAGUAUGGCAGAGGGUGGUGGAAUUUCCUGUGUAGCGGUGAAAUGCGUAGAUAUAGGAAGGAACACCAGUGGCGAAGGCGACCACCUGGGCUAAUACUGACACCGAGGUGCGAAAGCAUGGGGAGCAAACAG